UACAGAGGGUGCAAGCGUUGUUCGGAAUUACUGGGCGUAAAGCGCGCGCAGGCGGAUCCUGCAAGUCCGGAGUGAAAUCUCACUGCUCAACGGUGGGGCUGCUUUGGAUACUGCGGAUCUGGAGACCGGUAGAGGCUGGUAGAAUUGCAGGUGUAGCGGUGGAAUGCGUAGAGAUCUGCAAGAAUACCCGUGGCGAAGGCGGCCAGCUGGGCCGGUUCUGACGCUGAGGCGCGAAAGCGUGGGGAGCGAACAGG
Molecule: ribosomal RNA, 254 nt
Filed under: uncultured bacterium
Lineage: Bacteria
Description: partial 16S ribosomal RNA
Rfam family: Bacterial small subunit ribosomal RNA
Source: RNAcentral